This 433-nucleotide ribosomal RNA is filed under the name uncultured bacterium. RNAcentral's name for it is "partial 16S ribosomal RNA". It matches the Rfam family "Bacterial small subunit ribosomal RNA", at positions 29 to 507 of the family's 1533-position model. The record is from RNAcentral.
AACGAACGCUGGCGGCAUGCCUAACACAUGCAAGUCGAACGAACCCUUCGGGGUUAGUGGCGCACGGGUGCGUAACGCGUGGGAAUCUGCCCUUUGCUUCGGAAUAACUCAGGGAAACUUGUGCUAAUACCGGAUGAUGUCUUCGGACCAAAGAUUUAUCGGCAAGGGAUGAGCCCGCGUAGGAUUAGGUAGUUGGUGGGGUAAAGGCCUACCAAGCCGACGAUCCUUAGCUGGUCUGAGAGGAUGAUCAGCCACACUGGGAAUGAGACACGGCCCAGACUCCGACGGGAGGCGGCAGUGGGGAAUAUUGGACAAGGGGCGCAAGCCUGACCCAGCAAUGCCGCGGGAGUGAUGAAGGCCCUCGGGUCGUAAAGCUCUUUGAGCAGGGAUGAUAAUGACAGUACCUGGAGAAUAAGCUCCGGCUAACUCCGUG